AUGCUGCUACAGAGCCCUGCUGAUGACAAGAAGGAUGAAGUGGAAUUGUCACAUAUUCCCAAAGUAGAAGUUGAUUUGUUGCAUUUGAGGUUAAGUGAACAGCGAACACUUUUGGACAUUGGACACCGCUUCACUGACCUGUUUCAGGAUACUUUAUCCUGCAACCCAUCGUGGCCAUCUGAGAUUCUCCAGAACGCAGAGGUGAACAAUGGUCGCCUCAUCUGGAACAUCUAUCCAUUAUUUCCCACCCAUUCUAUCUACCCCGGGAGUUUUCAUUGAUCAUCUUUACUGCUGUUUACAUACCACCACAAGCAGACACCGGCUUGGCUUUGUCUAAGCUUCACGAUGUGCUCAGUGGCAACAUCAACAAACAUCCUGACGCUGCUCAUAUCAUCGCUGGGGACUUUAACAAAGCCAAUCUUAGGCAGGCCAUGCCAAACUUUAAUCAACAUGUAUCCUGUCCAACCAGAGAUCUGAAUACAUUGGAUCAUUGCUACACUCAGUUUAAGAAUGCCUACAAAGCCCGCUCACUGCCAUGCCGCCAUUUUCCUCACACUGGAAUACACAUUUGUGACUAUUAAUCUACAUCUUCCAAUUCAAAACACGGAUGUUUUGAUCAUUGUCUGUGUGUGCAAAUUGAAAGAUUCCACUUUUCACAUCAGAGCUGUGAGUGUAAAUUUCAACUUACAAAUACGAAUGUUAAUAUGACAAGUUCUCACAUUCAGAUUUUCAACCUCUCGAGUUUAGCUACUGAUUUACCUCCAUACACUUCAUCCUCCAUAUUUAAAUCCGUUUCCUGGUGUUUCACAAAUUGUGAUAACCAGCCAAGCUCUGAGUUGAUACAUGUUUGAAUCCACCUGGGUCUCAAUUUUCACCAUGAACUCUCUUUUUUGCCUUUAUAAACUUAUCUCUUAAGGUCUUCCAGAUAUUCUUUCAAACAAUUUCUUCCUUGGGCUCGGCAAAAGUGUGCAUCUAGGGUGCAUACUGUAGCAGCCACAAAGCGGGCGCUCUUGAGCACUCUUCUGAAAGCUAAAAGGACGAAGGGUACAGCAGGGUCGGUGGGUCGGUCUAGCCCAGUGGUUUUCAAACUUUUUCAAGAGCGACCCUUUUUACGCGACCCAUAGGCUUAUUCUUAAGCCAGGCAUAAGAGUAACAAUAACAACCGCUUUUGAUGAUGCACGUGCACUGGAUGAUCAUUGACGCGAUUGCAAUGCAAAGUUGAUUCUGCACUAAUUUGAUCUAGCUAUGGGAUGCUCAUUAACCUGUUAACCAUUAACCAUCAUAAGAAUUUUAACCAAUUAAAAGCCUACUAUCGUUUGCUGCAUGCUUAAAAAAUACACAAAACAUAUUCCACAACAAAUCCUUUAAGUGUGAUAUUCAGAACAGAACAAGUAACAAACAACUGUCACCCAACCAAAAUCACACACACUCACACAAACUAUUUAAAAGCAAAAAAUAAGUCAACAGAAGGAAAACAAUUAUCCUAUUGAUCUGAAAUAAGUGUGUGUGUGUGUGUGUGUGUGUGUGUGUGUGUGUGUGUGUGUGUGACAGAAGACAAGGCUCAUGUUCACUGAACUCUUUAAUGUGUGUGUUUGUUGCUGCCGAUGGAGCGAACGAGUGUGUGUGUUGCUGCCGAUGGAGCGAACGAGUGUGUGUGGGUUGCUGCCGAUGGAGCGAAUGAGUAGGCCUAAUAUAUAUUAAUGAGAAGGGUGGGCCUGCUUAUUCUGCAUAAUUUGGUCCCAAGCCGGUUCGCAGGAUGAGAGGGCAACACGCAUGUCCGGAGAAGCAUUCAGUUUGUUUCGUUGUUUCGUCUUCAUUUUGGUUAAAAGUGAGGAUCCAGUUUCACACAUAUAGGUAGUGGUGAAGGGUAGUAGCAAUGAAAUGCUUGCUUUGCUCAGCAUGGGAUACUCGGUGAAGAGGCCAAUCCAGAACGAAGACAAUUUUUCUGUUUUGUCACGAGUUUUCAAAGUGUUGUCACUGGUUAGUUGGAUCAUUUCUGAUUCUUCAGAAGGAGUUAAAUUCAGUUCAGCAAUUGAAUCUGGAGUUUCAAAGUCAAAGGGAUUUUUCACCCACCGCUUGUCUUUUAAUUCAUCGAACUUGCCUGGGGAAAUUAGCGAGAAAAUUUCCCCAUCAGUGCAUCCAGAUGUGACUGAAUGAGACGCGUCAGGCCAGCGACCGAUUCGUUGGGCACAUCGUUUUCUUCAAUGCGUUUCGUCAAUAGGUCGGGAACAAAUAGUAGCUCGCGGUUUUGAGUCGCAGCUGCCAGAGUUCGAGUGAUUUCUGGAAAGCCUGAAUUUGUUCGCAAUGUCUGAAAAUGUUGUCUUCCCGUCCUUGUAGUUUUAGAUUCAGUUCGUUUAGAACAGAAAUUAUGUCAGCCAGAUAAGAAAGGGUUAAAAGCCAUUUCUCAUCACUGAAUUGGCUUGCGAGAGGUGACAGUUUAUCAGUAAGAAAAGCAGGUAUUUCAUCCCUCAAUUCGUACACUCGGCUGAGCACCAUUCACCUUGCCAAAUGUACCGAACAUAAACAAGUAACUUAGCGCUUGAUGCAACGUUAGUGCUCUCAUCCAGCUGAAUAGCAAAAUCCCUUGCUGACUUCAGUCUCGCUAUGAGCUGUUCUUCUAAAUUCUGGGCAAUAUCCACAAUUCGACGUGACACCGUAUUGUCAGUAAGAGGAAUUAGUUUUAGCUUUUCAGAUGCCUUUUCAUCCAGAACUGUAUUAACUAUGUCUAGUGCAGCAGGCAAUAUUAAACGCUCUGCAAUUGUGUGUGGCGCUUUUUCUUUGGCAAGACGAUAUGAAACUUUAUAAGAUGCCAAGUGCAAUUUGUCAUUGUAUGUCACACUUCUGCUGAGUAACUGAGCUGAUGACUUAAUUUCUUGAGACUUCCUCUGAAAAAAAGAUAAUGGUUUGUCCGCAAGAUCUGCAUGGCGUGUACUUAAAUGUCUUUCCAACUUUGCUGGUUUCAAACUUUCAUUUGCCAACUUUUCACCGCAUAUUACGUACAUUGGUAUUGCAGCACGGACUGCGUCCGAACAGUUGACAAACCCAAACUUCAAAAAAUCAUCUUUAUAUGGCCUUACUCCGGAUUUCUGCUUUUUCUUUGCUGGGCAAGUACUGCUACUCUGUUCACAUGCAUCGCCUUCGUUAUCUUCCCUGCUGAUCUCCGCUGUUUGCGGCAGGGUUUGACGACUGGCUGCGUUUUCUGCUGCUUCAUUUAAAGGGGUCUCUGUCUCUGGCCCUCUUUUUCUUGUGAAAAAAUCAUUAAUGCUUUUUGACUUUUGCUUGCUCAUGUUCAGCAUAAAAUAAAUUAAAUACGGGCUACUAAUGUCACGCUACCUAAGAUGUUGCAUCAUCUCAGUGAGAAAAAGAAAAUGGCUGUAUCAACAACACUGCGCGCAAGAUUUUUUUUUUGUUUUUUUAUUUAUUUAUUUUAUUUAUUUAUUUUGCAUGUAUUUGAAUGAUUUUUCAGUGUACUUCUAUUCAAAGUUAUUAUUAUUAUUAUUAUUAUUAUUAUUAUGAUUAGAAAACGGAAUUAAUUAUUUUAGUAAAAAAAAAAGAAAAAUCACUGGCGACCCAUUUUUUAAUUCUCGCGACCCACCCGAGGGUCGCGACCCAGGGUUUGAAAACCACUGGUCUAGCCUACGGAUAACUGUUCUUGUCACUUUGCAACUGUGACAGUUGCCAUUGAUGAGCGUUGAUAACUGUUUUAAAAUUAUAUUAAAAACAAAGCAGCUUUAA
Molecule: long non-coding RNA, 3735 nt
Organism: Cyprinus carpio carpio
Lineage: Eukaryota; Metazoa; Chordata; Actinopteri; Cypriniformes; Cyprinidae
Source: Ensembl